This 404-nucleotide unclassified non-coding RNA is filed under the name fungal sp. Its description in RNAcentral is "partial internal transcribed spacer region". The stretch from base 1 to 46 matches the Rfam family "Eukaryotic small subunit ribosomal RNA", at positions 1786 to 1831 of the family's 1831-position model. The record is from RNAcentral. Lineage: Eukaryota; Fungi.
AAGUCGUAACAAGGUUUCCGUAGGUGAACCUGCGGAAGGAUCAUUAACACGUGUUUUAAACUCACGUAUUAACCAAAAGCGAAUUUGUUGUUAAGCCUGUUAUUGUUGUAGAACGGGUCCGUUGGGGAAUGGGUGUGACUUGCGGUGCUUCGCGCAUAGGGGUCUAACUAACGGAAUGGGCGUGCUCACACGCGGUUCUACUUCAGUAUACAGUAGAUGCAAUUUCGGCUGUGGAGCCUGCACCAUGGCUUGCAGUCCGGGGUGAAUAUUACCUACUAAAUUUAUACUUAUUCUGACUUUGUACGUCUAUGCAAAUUCCUGACUUAACUGUUGGUUGCAGUUUGUAUCGAUGUCGUAUAAUAACUAAUACGAAACAACUCUUAGCAACGGAUAUCUUGGUUCUC